GAAAUGCGAUAAGUAGUGUGAAUUGAAGAAUUCAGUGAAUCAUCGAAUCUUUGAACGCACAUUGCGCCCCUUGGUAUUCCAUGGGGCAUGCCUGUUCGAGCGUCAUUUGUACCCUCAAGCUCUGCUUGGUGUUGGGUGUUUGUCCCGUCUCCGCGCGUGGACUCGCCCCAAAGUGAUUGGCAGCCGGCGUACUGGUCCCGGAGCGCAGCACAUGUCGCGCAAACGAGUGCCUUGGUACGGCGGCGUCCAUAAGCCCCUCUCUCACGCUCUUGACCUCGGAUCAGGUAGGGAUACCCGCUGAACUUAAGC
RNAcentral lists this unclassified non-coding RNA (309 nucleotides) under plant metagenome. RNAcentral's name for it is "partial contains 5.8S ribosomal RNA, internal transcribed spacer 2, and large subunit ribosomal RNA". The stretch from base 1 to 105 matches the Rfam family "5.8S ribosomal RNA", at positions 50 to 154 of the family's 154-position model. The record is from RNAcentral.